UGUCCAGCAGUUGGUAGAGCAGGAGACUCUUUAUCUCAGGGUCGUGGGUUCGAGCCCCGUGCUGGACAA
Podarcis lilfordi (Lilford's wall lizard) is the source of this 69-nucleotide non-coding RNA. The record is from the annotation of a GenBank genome assembly. Lineage: Eukaryota; Metazoa; Chordata; Lepidosauria; Squamata; Lacertidae.